This is a microRNA precursor of Lupinus angustifolius (narrow-leaved blue lupine), 133 nucleotides long. It matches the Rfam family "mir-172 microRNA precursor family". From Rfam's summary of the family: mir-172 has been experimentally verified in Arabidopsis thaliana. This family is thought to target mRNAs coding for APETALA2-like transcription factors. The record is from Rfam. NCBI's taxonomy places the organism in Eukaryota, Viridiplantae, Streptophyta, Magnoliopsida, Fabales, Fabaceae.
UUGUUUGCAGAUGUAGCAUCAUCAAGAUUCACAUGCAAAUGUUGGUGGGUGGGACUAUUAAGCAAUCUAAGCGAUUUUCCAAUCCAUUGGCUUUAUGAAGUGAGAAUCUUGAUGAUGCUGCAUCAGCUAUAUA